AGUGUGAGUCUCGGUGAUGGUGACGGCUCUGGAUCAGCUGCUAUGGUGACUAGACUAAUAUUGAAGAUUAUGGUGGCUCUAUUACCUCCAAUGAUGGCAGAGCACGUUUGGUAGCAGCACGAGCUAGUGGUCUGGCCUGAUUCCAGUGAGAAGAAACGACAUGCAACAUGGCACAGCCCAGGUACUGAGACAACCCAUUGUGUUGCUGAGGCAUUGGCCUUUGAACUGGUUGCUGUCAGCAUCUGAGAAGGAGGAAUUAGAGCAACGCUGAAUAAGAACCACUACAAUGCAAAUGUGUGUAUGUAUAAUUCAACCUG
Long non-coding RNA from Toxotes jaculatrix (banded archerfish), 317 nucleotides. RefSeq lists it as uncharacterized. Lineage: Eukaryota; Metazoa; Chordata; Actinopteri; Toxotidae. The transcript is spliced from 3 exons. The record is from RefSeq and is a predicted model, not a curated record.